RNAcentral lists this ribosomal RNA (996 nucleotides) under uncultured bacterium. Its description in RNAcentral is "bacterial SSU rRNA". It matches the Rfam family "Bacterial small subunit ribosomal RNA", at positions 356 to 1376 of the family's 1533-position model. The record is from RNAcentral.
GGGGAAUAUUGGGCAAUGGAGGCAACUCUGACCCAGCAACGCCGCGUGAAUGAAGAAGGCCUUCGGAUUGUAAACUCCUGUCGUUAGGGACGAUAAUGACGGUACCUAACAAGAAGGCACCGGCUAACUACGUGCCAGCAGCCGCGGUAAAACGUAGGGUGCAAGCGUUGUCCGGAAUUACUGGGUGUAAAGGGAGCGCAGGCGGGAAGACAAGUUGGAAGUGAAAUCUAUGGGCUCAACCCAUAAACUGCUUUCAAAACUGUUUUUCUUGAGUAGUGCAGAGGUAGGCGGAAUUCCCGGUGUAGCGGUGGAAUGCGUAGAUAUCGGGAGGAACACCAGUGGCGAAGGCGGCCUACUGGGCACCAACUGACGCUGAGGCUCGAAAGUGUGGGUAGCAAACAGGAUUAGAUACCCUGGUAGUCCAUGCCGUAAACGAUGAUUACUAGGUGUGGGAGGAUUGACCCCUUCCGUGCCGCAGUUAACACAAUAAGUAAUCCACCUGGGGAGUACGACCGCAAGGUUGAAACUCAAAGGAAUUGACGGGGGCCCGCACAAGCAGUGGAGUAUGUGGUUUAAUUCGAAGCAACGCGAAGAACCUUACCAGGUCUUGACAUCGGAUGCAUAGCUAAGAGAUUAGCGAAGUCCUUCGGGACAUCCAGACAGGUGGUGCAUGGUUGUCGUCAGCUCGUGUCGUGAGAUGUUGGGUUAAGUCCCGCAACGAGCGCAACCCUUACUGUUAGUUACUACGCAAGAGGACUCUAGCAGGACUGCCGUUGACAAAACGGAGGAAGGUGGGGAUGACGUCAAAUCAUCAUGCCCUUUAUGACCUGGGCUACACACGUACUACAAUGGCGUUAAACAAAGAGAAGCGAAGCCGCGAGGUGGAGCAAACCUCAAAAACAACGUCCCAGUUCAGACUGCAGGCUGCAACUCGCCUGCACGAAGUCGGAAUUGCUAGUAAUCGCGGAUCAGCAUGCCGCGGUGAAUACGUUCCCG